UGGGGAAUAUUGGACAAUGGGCGCAAGCCUGAUCCAGCCAUGCCGCGUGAGUGAUGAAGGCCCUAGGGUUGUAAAGCUCUUUCACCGGUGAAGAUAAUGACGGUAACCGGAGAAGAAGCCCCGACUAACUUCGUGCCAGCAGCCGCGGUAAUACGAAGGGGGCUAGCGUUGUUCGGAUUUACUGGGCGUAAAGCGCACGUAGGCGGACUUUUAAGUCAGGGGUGAAAUCCCGGGGCUCAACCCCGGAACUGCCUUUGAUACUGGAAGUCUUGAGUAUGGUAGAGGUGAGUGGAAUUCCGAGUGUAGAAGUGAAAUUCGUAGAUAUUCGGAGGAACACCAGUGGCGAAGGCGGCUCACUGGACCAUUACUGACGCUGAGGUGCGAAAGCGUGGGGAGCAAACAGG
This 404-nucleotide ribosomal RNA is filed under the name Actinomycetes bacterium. RNAcentral describes it as "Actinobacteria bacterium partial 16S ribosomal RNA". It matches the Rfam family "Bacterial small subunit ribosomal RNA", at positions 355 to 776 of the family's 1533-position model. The record is from RNAcentral. Lineage: Bacteria; Bacillati; Actinomycetota; Actinomycetes.